UUUUUCAAUUCCUUUCAUCGUUGAAAAGAAAAAAAGUCAAAGCCAAGAGAUCCUGACUUUGACUUUCUGA
This 70-nucleotide unclassified non-coding RNA is filed under the name Bacillus safensis. RNAcentral's name for it is "SurC". The record is from RNAcentral. Lineage: Bacteria; Bacillati; Bacillota; Bacilli; Caryophanales; Bacillaceae.